This 500-nucleotide ribosomal RNA is filed under the name uncultured bacterium. RNAcentral's name for it is "partial 16S ribosomal RNA". It matches the Rfam family "Bacterial small subunit ribosomal RNA", at positions 28 to 507 of the family's 1533-position model. The record is from RNAcentral.
GACGAACGCUGGCGGCGUGCCUAAUACAUGCAAGUCGUGCGGACCUUGUUGAAAGCUUGCUUUUAAAAGGUUAGCGGCGGACGGGUGAGUAACACGUGGGCAACCUGCUUGUAAGACUGGGAUAACGCCGGGAAACCGCGGCUAAUACCAGAUCGUUUUUUCCUCCGCAUGGAGGAUAGAGGAAAGCCGGCUUCGGGUGCCACCUACAGAUGGGCCCGCGGCGGAUUAGCUAGUUGGCGGGGUAAUGGCCCACCAAGGCAACGGAGCGUAGGCGACCUGAGAGGGUGAUCGGCCACAUUGGGACUGGGACACGGCCCAAACGCCUACAGGAGGCAGCAGUAGGGAAACUUGCGGAAUGGGCGGAAGUCUGACGGAGCAACGCCGCGGGAGGGAAGAAGGCCUUCGGGUCGGAAAACUCUGUUGCCGGGGAAGAACAAGUGCCGUUCGAAGAGGGCGGCGGCUUGACGGUACCCGGCCAGAAAGCCACGGCUAACUACGUG